CUGUCUUCGUCACGGUGCUCCCCUCGUGCGUGACCUCGCAGCUGUAACUGCCUUUCGAUUUCCAGUCGCUGCCCAUCAGGCUCAGGUAGCUGCUGGCCGCGUACUUGCUGUUGCUCUGUUUGGAGGCCCGGGUGGUCUCCACGUUGCGGGUGAUGGUGCUGCCGUCUGCCUUCCAGACCACGGUCACGCUACCCGGGUAGAAGUCGCUGAUGAGACACACCAGGGUGGCCUUGUUGCCGUUGAGCUCCUCCGUGGAGGGCGGGAACAGG
Long non-coding RNA from Bos taurus (domestic cattle), 269 nucleotides. NCBI's taxonomy places the organism in Eukaryota, Metazoa, Chordata, Mammalia, Artiodactyla, Bovidae. The record is from Ensembl.